UGGACCAGUGAUCUGGAAUGGCCUCCUCAGCCUCCUAUGGAGACCUGGAGAACAAGAGACAUGGAGGCAGAGAGACCCCAAGUCUCCCGGCUCCUACGUCCUGAACCCCUACUGCUCCUGCUGCCCCCUAGCAUCCUCGUCUUUACUGAGACCUCCCCUGUAGACACUGGACUGCACACAGGUACUACUGCUCCUGCUGCCCCCUAGCAUCCUCGUCUUUACUGAGACCUCCCCUGUAGACACUGGACUGCACACAGCACAAUCUGAGGCGGUUGGUGUCAUGGCUUGCUGAAAUGAAAUGGAGUGACUCAGUGACAAUUUGAAGCCUCUAGGUCACCAGACUGCUAGUUAUGGCGCACACCUGUCACCAUCGUUACGUGCACCUGUGCGUCAUCAGACUCACCUGGACUCCAUCACCUCCCUGAUUACCUUCCCUAUAUAUGUCACUUCCUUUGAUUCCUUCCCCAGGCGUUAUUGUUUCUGUUCCUGUGUCAUGUCUGUGCAUUGUUCGUGUUUCUUAUUUUGUGUUAUUUUGUGUUUAUUUAUUAAAACCCUCACUCCCUGAACUUGC
This 571-nucleotide long non-coding RNA is filed under the name Salmo salar (Atlantic salmon). Its description in RNAcentral is "lncRNA (ENSSSAG00000101245.1)". The record is from RNAcentral. Lineage: Eukaryota; Metazoa; Chordata; Actinopteri; Salmoniformes; Salmonidae.